CGGCAACAGCUCAAAUUUGAAAUCUGGCGUCUUCGACGUCCGAGUUGUAAUUUGCAGAGGGCGCUUUGGCAUUGGCAGCGGUCCAAGUUCCUUGGAACAGGACGUCACAGAGGGUGAGAGCCCCGUACGGUUGGACGCCUAGCCUCUGUAAAGCUCCUUCGAC
RNAcentral lists this ribosomal RNA (163 nucleotides) under Didymellaceae sp. RNAcentral describes it as "partial large subunit ribosomal RNA". It matches the Rfam family "Eukaryotic large subunit ribosomal RNA", at positions 99 to 261 of the family's 3401-position model. Lineage: Eukaryota; Fungi; Ascomycota; Dothideomycetes; Pleosporales; Didymellaceae. The record is from RNAcentral.